GCCAGGUAUAGUGGUGCAUACCUGUAAUCCCAGGGGCUUGGGAGGCUGAGGCAGGAGGAUUACAAGUUCAAAACCAGCAUUAGCAAAAGAGAGGCACUAAGCAACUCAGUGAGACUCUGUCUCUA
RNAcentral lists this small RNA (125 nucleotides) under Marmota monax (woodchuck). The record is from RNAcentral. Lineage: Eukaryota; Metazoa; Chordata; Mammalia; Rodentia; Sciuridae.